This 405-nucleotide unclassified non-coding RNA is filed under the name soil metagenome. RNAcentral's name for it is "partial contains 5.8S ribosomal RNA, internal transcribed spacer 2, and large subunit ribosomal RNA". The stretch from base 1 to 121 matches the Rfam family "5.8S ribosomal RNA", at positions 35 to 154 of the family's 154-position model. The record is from RNAcentral.
GAUGAAGAACGUAGCGAAAUGCGAUAAGUAAUGUGAAUUGCAGAAUUCAGUGAAUCAUCGAAUCUUUGAACGCACCUUGCGCCCUUUGGCCAUUCCGAAGGGCAUGCCUGUUUGAGUAUCAUGAACACCUCAACUCUUUAUGGUUUUCCAUGAUGAGCUUGGAUUCUGGGGGUUUUGCUGGCUCACAGUCGGCUCCUCUAAAAUGAAUCAGCUUACCAGUGUUUGGUGGGUAUCAUGGGUGUGAUAACUAUCUACGCUUGUGGUUUUUCCACCAGGUAACCUUCAGCAGUGGAGGUUCGCUGGAGCUCAUAGAUGUCUCUCCUCAGUGAGGACAGCCCUUUGAAUGUUUGAUCUCAAAUCAGGUAGGACUACCCGCUGAACUUAAGCAUAUCAAUAAGCGGAGGA